Molecule: ribosomal RNA, 338 nt
Filed under: Ehrlichia chaffeensis
Lineage: Bacteria; Pseudomonadati; Pseudomonadota; Alphaproteobacteria; Rickettsiales; Anaplasmataceae
Description: bacterial SSU rRNA
Rfam family: Bacterial small subunit ribosomal RNA
Source: RNAcentral
UUUGGUUAUAAAUAAUUGUUAGUGGCAGACGGGUGAGUAAUGCGUAGGAAUCUACCUAGUAGUAUGGAAUAGCCAUUAGAAAUGAUGGGUAAUACUGUAUAAUCCCUGCGGGGGAAAGAUUUAUCGCUAUUAGAUGAGCCUACGUUAGAUUAGCUAGUUGGUAAGGUAAUGGCUUACCAAGGCUAUGAUCUAUAGCUGGUCUGAGAGGACGAUCAGCCACACUGGAACUGAGAUACGGUCCAGACUCCUACGGGAGGCAGCAGUGGGGAAUAUUGGACAAUGGGCGAAAGCCUGAUCCAGCUAUGCCGCGUGAGUGAAGAAGGCCUUCGGGUUGUAAA